RNAcentral lists this ribosomal RNA (592 nucleotides) under uncultured Desulfosporosinus sp. Its description in RNAcentral is "bacterial SSU rRNA". It matches the Rfam family "Bacterial small subunit ribosomal RNA", at positions 335 to 916 of the family's 1533-position model. The record is from RNAcentral. Lineage: Bacteria; Bacillati; Bacillota; Clostridia; Eubacteriales; Desulfitobacteriaceae.
ACUCCUACGGGAGGCAGCAGUGGGGGAAUCUUCCGCAAUGGACGAAAGUCUGACGGAGCAACGCCGCGUGUAUGAUGAAGGUCUUCGGAUUGUAAAGUACUGUCUUUGGGGAAGAAUGAUUGGUUUGAAAAUAUUGAGCCAAUAUGACGGUACCCAAGGAGGAAGCCCCGGCUAACUACGUGCCAGCAGCCGCGGUAAUACGUAGGGGGCAAGCGUUGUCCGGAAUUAUUGGGCGUAAAGGGCGCGUAGGCGGAUAGUUAAGUCCGGUGUGAAAGAUCAGGGCUCAACCCUGAGAGUGCAUCGGAAACUGGUUAUCUUGAGGACAGGAGAGGAAAGUGGAAUUCCUAGUGUAGCGGUGAAAUGCGUAGAUAUUAGGAGGAACACCAGUGGCGAAGGCGACUUUCUGGACUGUAACUGACGYUGAGGCGCGAAAGCGUGGGGAGCAAACAGGAUUAGAUACCCUGGUAGUCCACGCUGUAAACGAUGAGUGCUAGGUGUAGAGGGUAUCGACCCCUUCUGUGCCGCAGUUAACACAAUAAGCACUCCGCCUGGGGGGUACGGCCGCAAGGUUGAAACUCAAAUGAAUUGACGG